AUGCGUGAUCAGGUCGGCGUCGACCUGGACGGCUUCCCCCUCGACCACGAGUUCCCGGACGACUAUGGGCUAGAGGAAGAGGACGGGUGCGACAUCGAAGUGGAGCCUUUGUUCGAGGAGGAGCUCGCCAACCAAGCCGCCGGGCCGAAGCCGAAGCGCAAGAGCAAACGCACGAAGGCUUACACAGCUGCCGAAGACAAGCUUCUAUGCGAGUGUUGGCGAGACAUUGGGCAAGACCCAAAGACGGGCGCCGAGCAAAAGCAUUCAACCUUUUGGACUCGUGUGCACCGGGAGUUUCACCAUUUUUUACGUGCUGGCAUGUGUGCCGGCCGGCUGGCGAGCGAGUGCGCUAACAGGAAUUGUGGUAUUUUCUGA
This 375-nucleotide ribosomal RNA is filed under the name Triticum aestivum (bread wheat). Its description in RNAcentral is "partial small subunit ribosomal RNA". Lineage: Eukaryota; Viridiplantae; Streptophyta; Magnoliopsida; Poales; Poaceae. The record is from RNAcentral.